CAAGUCGAGCGAAGCGAUUCAAAUGAAGUUUCGGAUGGAUUUGAAUUGACUUAGCGGCGGACGGGUGAGUAACGCGUGGGUAACCUGCCUCAGUACAGGGGGAUAACAGUUGGAAACGGCUGCUAAUACCGCAUAAGCACACAGUGCCGCAUGGUACGGUGUGAAAAACUCCGGUGGUAUGAGAUGGGACCCGCGUCUGAUUAGGUAGUUGGUGAGGUAACGGCCCACCCAAGCCGACGAUCAGUAGCCGACCUGAGAGGGUGACCGGCCACAUUGGGACUGAGACACGGCCCAAACUCCUACGGGAGGCAGCAGUGGGGAAUAUUGGACAAUGGGGGAAACCCUGAUCCCAGCGACGCCGCGUGAGUGAAGAAGUAUUUCGGUAUGUAAAGCUCUAUCAGCAGGGAAGAAAAUGACGGUACCUGACUAAGAAGCCCCGGCUAACUACGUGCCAGCCGCGGC
This 462-nucleotide ribosomal RNA is filed under the name uncultured bacterium. Its description in RNAcentral is "bacterial SSU rRNA". It matches the Rfam family "Bacterial small subunit ribosomal RNA", at positions 58 to 518 of the family's 1533-position model. The record is from RNAcentral.